RNAcentral lists this ribosomal RNA (777 nucleotides) under uncultured Neocallimastigales. RNAcentral's name for it is "partial large subunit ribosomal RNA". It matches the Rfam family "Eukaryotic large subunit ribosomal RNA", at positions 23 to 648 of the family's 3401-position model. Lineage: Eukaryota; Fungi; Neocallimastigomycota; Neocallimastigomycetes; Neocallimastigales. The record is from RNAcentral.
AGAGAUGUGUGAUGACGCAUAUCAAUAAGCGGAGGAAAAGAGACUAACAAGGAUUCCCUUAGUAACGGCGAGUGAAGCGGGAAGAGCUCAAAUUUGAAAUCUUCAAGGUUCUACCUUGACGAAUUGUAGUUUAUAGAAGUGUUUUCUGUUAGUGGAGUGGCAAAAGUUCUUUGGAAUAGGACAUCAUAGAGGGUGAGAAUCCCGUAUUUGGUCAUUCCUCCUAGCGUUGUGAUACACUUUCAACGAGUCGGAUUGUUUGGGAAUGCAGUCCAAAAUGGGUGGUAAAUUUCAUCUAAAGCUAAAUAUUGGCGAGAGACCGAUAGCGAACAAGUACCGUGAGGGAAAGAUGAAAAGAACUUUGAAAAGAGAGUUAAACAGUACGUGAAAUUGUCAAAAGGGAAGCGUUUGACACCAGUGUUGUUUUUCCGAAAAUCAAUUACGAAUGUUUUAGUUUUUAAGAAGUUAUGACUUCAUCGGCUUGCUUCUCUCUUUAUGAAACUUUCUUAAUGCACUUUUCGGUUAACAAGUCAACAUCAAUUUCUUUUGUUGUAAAAGGGUAUGAGGAAGGUGGCUUUCUUUUCGGAGAAAGUGUUUAUAGCCUUGUAGCCUCUGCAAUCGGAGAGAUUGAGGUCUGCAGCGUAGAUCCUUCGGGGUUAGAUACAUUUGUGCUAAGUUAUAGCCUUUCAUAGACAACUUGUUGACUAUGAUCAGUCAUGUAGCUUACUCGCUUAUGUCUAUUUUACCUACGCUUAGGAUGUUGACGAUCAGCUGAGCGCG